CAUUGACUUAACAUGACUCAAGAAUAAUAAUUGUUCAACUCAGUUCUGAGCGUUAAGAUUUAGUUUUAACAUGCUAAUUUCAUUCUUGGAUUUACAGACUGCCCUACUAAAGCAUCACUCAUGACAAUUAACUGGAUUGUAUGAACAUACCUCAGUAUAGUGUGUUGAAUGUUGCAUACCUUAUGUUAUACACUGGGGUUCAUUAAAGGACCACUAUAGGCACCCAGACCACUUCAGCUUAAUGAAGUGGUCUGGGUGCCAGGUCCAUCUAGGGUUUCAG
Molecule: non-coding RNA, 280 nt
Organism: Pelobates cultripes (western spadefoot toad)
Lineage: Eukaryota; Metazoa; Chordata; Amphibia; Anura; Pelobatidae
Source: the annotation of a GenBank genome assembly